CCUACGGGAGACAGCAGUGAGGAAUAUUGGUCAAUGGGCGCGAGCCUGAACCAGCCAAGUCGCGUGAGGGAAGACGGUCCUAUGGAUUGUAAACCUCUUUUGUCGGGGAGCAGAAGACGCCACGCGUGGCGUUCCGAGAGUCCCCGAAGAAAAAGCAUCGCCUAACCCCGUGCCAGCAGCCGCGGUAAUACGGAGGCUGCGAGCGUUAUCCGGAUUUAUUGGGUUUAAAGGGUGCGCAGGCGGAAGGUCAAGUCAGCGGGAAAAUUGAGAGGCUCAACCUCUUCGAGCCGUUGAAACUGGUUUGCGUGAGUGAUCUAGAGGUAUGCGGAAUGCGUGGUGUAGCGGUGAAAUGCAUAGAUAUCACGCAGAACUCCGAUGGCGAAGGCAGCAGACCGGCGAUCAACUGACGCUCAUGCACGAAAGUGUGGGUAGCGAACAGGAUUAGAUACCCUUGUAGUC
RNAcentral lists this ribosomal RNA (459 nucleotides) under uncultured bacterium. RNAcentral describes it as "partial 16S ribosomal RNA". It matches the Rfam family "Bacterial small subunit ribosomal RNA", at positions 338 to 795 of the family's 1533-position model. The record is from RNAcentral.